AUGGAGGUGGAGGCGAUGAGCAGCGCGCUCGCGGGGUUGAAGAUCCACAGCAGUGACGGCGUGGGUUGCCGUAAUCGUGGGAGGGAGAACGUCGGCGGGGCGAAGACGACGAGGCCGCUCCGCCUCAAGAUCAAGUCCCUGACGAGGAAGAGCCGAAUCCGUCGCGAUGAGAAUCGGCCGCCUACUCCAACCCGGGACGAGCGAUGGGCCGAGGAACCGGAGAAUCUGCCGGAGGUCAAGGAGGAGGACGCCAUCGCCAGGAGCCGUCGAAUCUGGGAUAGGCGUUGGGCCGGCCGUUACGGUGCCUUCGAGGAUGAAACGAGUAUCGGUCCCAUGCGCUACACAUCCAAACCGCCUACCCCAGAAUACCUAUUCACAGAACAGACCGUGCAGAUCUUCUCCAUCAGGGUCAGGGCCCCAACAGAUGGUCUCAAGUGGCCGCUGCGUGUCUAUGGCCACAUUGCCACCAGAGACUCGAUGGAUCAGAAUCGCAACUAUCUCUUCAGGCGCACAAGGGAUAACUGCCAAACCCUCUCACAAGACGAUCCAUCCUUGCUGCUAACUGGCCCAUCCCGGGCAAUUGUGUACCUUGCUCCAAUUACAUUCGAAGUGCAGUUAAAAGUAAAGGGCAAAGGUGAGUCUGAAGAUGAGAUGCUGGCUUUCGGUGCCUUCUACUAUGACGAUGGGUCUGCUUGUGAACGCAAGCUUUCUAUACGUUACGACCACAAGCGCUGCAUGCUUGAGUAUGAAGUGGCGCUGCGGCCACGCUCGGUUGAGGCCACAAUCAGCUUGAAGGUCGUCGUGGGGUCAUGGCCGGAGAACCACCGAGGAAUAGUCGUCGCCAUCACCUCCGGCAUAGACGAGAAGAUCGUCCUGCUUCGUUGUCGAGACAGAGAACCGCCCAUUGAUCCGGAUGGCUCGUUUGAGCUCUCGAGGCGGGUUGUUUCUGUGGACUUGGGAGAGAAAUUGUUGGUUGCUGUGGACGCCUCUCUCUCCGAUUUUCUCAUGCGGGCCACUGCCGUGUUCAAGCCGGCGUGCUCCGGCACGAGCCACGGCGUAUGCGACCUCGGUUCCUGCAAGGUUGAAGUCACAGUUGCUUGGUCCCUCUUCGUUAUUGUUGUGCCGUAG
RNAcentral lists this ribosomal RNA (1128 nucleotides) under Triticum aestivum (bread wheat). Its description in RNAcentral is "partial small subunit ribosomal RNA". Lineage: Eukaryota; Viridiplantae; Streptophyta; Magnoliopsida; Poales; Poaceae. The record is from RNAcentral.